CCUGCCCCGGGGGGAGGCUGCGCCCCCGGCCCCGCUCACCUGCCGGCUGCCGCGGCCCGGCACUGGCCAGGCGGCCCGGCUCCGCCCCGCGGCCGCCGAACCGGAUCGGCAUCUGCCCCGGCAGCCGCUGGAAGAACCGGAGCCGGAGCCGCUGGGGGGCCGGGCGCCCGUCCCGGAGUCCGGGGCCAGCGAGAGCUGCUGGAUCGUGGGCACUUUGCGGCGCCUCCUUGGGAACAGGUGGUGGAGGAAAGCUUGAAAACAUGAAGCAUCCUAAAUGCACAGAAACCAGAAGGCAGAGAAAAGCAACACAGCAUUCAUUGCUUUUUAAACAAUCUCAGGAUUGUAAAGCCAAUCUCAGGACUUCUGGAGGCCUGACACAUGAUUUUUCCAUGAACAGGGUUGGCGAUACUGGCCGUGUGACCAAAAAUGGGCACUAAAACCCAUCAACUGACAAAGAGGGUAGUAGCAUCCUGGGGACGAGUCCAGGCGGCAGCAAGAGCCCAGAGGAAGCUAGUUUCAGCAGAAAAUCUGCUCCAGACGAGAGAAGAGGCAGCCUUGACAUCUCCUUCUCUCUCAAAAUGCGACUCCUCCCUCCGGGAAAUGAGAAUGUGGGGAUUAGAGAUGCCUUGGCCAGAGCAAGUGUUUCAUCUGUCUCAGGCAUUCCCUAGAAUCAAGAACCCUGGACCCACUUCUUUCAGGGAGGGACAACAGCAGAGAUGUGGAGAUGACAAACAUCAGAGCCAGGAAAUCCAAUCACACCCUCCAGGCUGUGCAUAUCACAAACAAGCUAUCCAGAGGAACAACAACAAAAUCUUUUUUUUGCACCAGCUGUGUGAAUCCAGCUACUCGGACCCAAGAAAUCCAUAACAGAAUGGAGAAAAGAAGCAUCUUUUACAUCCAGCCUAAUAAAAGGAUUUUUAUUUUUUAGCCCAAUAAAAGUUCUGGAAAACAAAAUUACUUGUAGUUAAGACAGGAAGAAAUUGCCAAAAGCUUACAAUGGAAUAGAAUGUGAAAUUAAUCUGCAGUUACACAGAGCUGGUUCUUACUGAGUUACUUCCAUUUUUAUAUCCAUCAUUGUGCACUGUGUACAUCAGGCACUCUAAAGAAUUAGCUGACCCACCCUGAAUCUAGUUUGUAAAGGAUACCAAAUGGUAUGUUCAGUGCAUGUGGUAAGCUUUUAUGUGCUUCUCCCCUAUGGCCAAUCUCAGACUGAUAAUUUAUUUCAG
This is a long non-coding RNA of Dermochelys coriacea (leatherback sea turtle), 1226 nucleotides long. RefSeq lists it as uncharacterized. The record is from RefSeq and is a predicted model, not a curated record. NCBI's taxonomy places the organism in Eukaryota, Metazoa, Chordata, Testudines, Dermochelyidae. The transcript is spliced from 3 exons.